Molecule: long non-coding RNA, 2080 nt
Organism: Crotalus tigris (Tiger rattlesnake)
Lineage: Eukaryota; Metazoa; Chordata; Lepidosauria; Squamata; Viperidae
Exons: 3
Source: RefSeq, a predicted model, not a curated record
GAAAAAAGGAGAGAGAGAGAGAGAGAGAGAGAGAGAGAGAGAGAGAGAGACUAUCCGAAAGCCAUUAAAUUGGCAAAAUACUCUUUGCUAAGACGCUCAACUCUCCAAAAGAAAAUGCGAUAAAGAAUAGUUUGCUGUCAUCCCCACCAAAGGCCUCUCUCUAUUGGAAGAUUAGGAAAGCAGGGCUAAAGAGUGCAGAGAAGAGCAAUUGAGACAGAUCAACCCCUUUCUUUCAGUGGAAAUAUUCUGAGCAGUGCUGGGAAAUGUUCUUGUUAGUGGAAUUCAAUCCAUUGUCUUUCAAGUCAACAGCAGAGAUAAAUGUAAGGCAGAGUAGAGUGUGAAUAUCAAAAAGGAUCAGUACUGAAUCAUAAUCAGAAAAAUAUCCUGUAUUUUUUUUCCAUUUCUUGCAUUUACUGAGUCUGAAUCAUUUUUAUACCUAUAAAUCUCCAGCUGUUAGAAAACUAUGUGUUUUAUAAUUUCCUUUACAGGCACAGAAACGUCUACCUAAAACAAAAAAACAAAUUGUAAACAUCAUUUCCUUUCUCUUUCUCUCCCUCUCUCUGUCCAUUACAUCAUUUCCAAUUUUGUAAAUAAAAUUUCCCUUAACUUCUUUUGUAGGGGUUUCCACACCUGGGUUAUAAAACUUGGGAUGAUCACUAAAUUUUUGAAAAAAAAAAAAAAUCUUAACUUUUUGCUUCUAUGUAAUACUCAUUUGGGGGUUUGAUGCCUCAUCUAAUCUUAACUAAAUCUUUUGUUAGUGAAGAAAAGUUAUAUUGUUUUAGUUUUGGGAUACAUUUUGUUUUAAAAUAGGUUUGUUUUCAUUCUGAAGUUUUGCUUAUGUAUUCUAUGGAAUAUGUAUUUGUUGCUCACCAAAUUCCAUUUCAGUUGUUGAAUAAUUUGUGUUAUUUUUAUGGAAUUUCUGCUUUCUAUUUAAAAUUAGAAAAUGAAUGUUCUUGGAUGUAUUUUUCUUCUAAAUAAAACAUAAAGGAUCAUUAAUAAAAAGAUAUCACUAGAACACAAUGUAAUCAGUCAUGCUUGGAUUCCUAAAUGCCUGCAUGUAUGUCUGAACUCUGAAAGAAAAUGAGGGAGAUCAAUAAGAAGGCUAUUUUGUCUUUUGAACAUGGUUAAAAAUUAUGAUUCUAAACAUAUUCUUGCUAAUAUGUUAUAUUCCUGAAUUAUUGUUUGAGGAAAAAUUCAGUAAUUGGCAACAUUUCUUUAUUCUGUGCAAGGAAAACAGCAAAUCUGCAAAUCAGAAUGAAAUGGGUAAUAGUCUCUGAUUGCCAAUUCUUAUAUAACAUUUUCUAUGUAUGAAUUUUUAAGACACAGUUUUUAUUCUGUGGAAUGCCCAGAAGUAUGAUGGAGUGUGUGUCUUAUCAAUAAAAUAAAAUAAUAUAAUAUAAAAUAAAAUAAAAUAAAAUCACUUCCUUUUUGUAGUCAUGCCUGGAUGUCUGAAUGACUCCUUUGUGCAAAUGCUACAUUAAAAUACAAGUGUUCAUUCUACAGAACAUCUAUAACAAAUCUAGCGCUAAUUUCAGAUCAAAGCUAAGUUUGGGAACAAAUGUCAAAUUGUAGAAUCCACGUAAUAUAUAAAUUCACAAUAUGUAAACUGUAGAUUACAGAAGAGCUUAUCUUAGAUAUCACAGGUAAACAUCAGGAAUAAAUAUGCUAUGAACAAUUAGAAUUAGAACACUUCUCCUUGUAUGAAUGUAAGAAUGGAAAAUGGGAAUCUGCAGGUAAGUGAAAUGAAAAAUGCCUUUAAUCCUGUCCUGUUUAACACAAUUUUAUCACACUCUAGACAAUGCUGUUCACUUUGGAUAUAUCUAUAUUGACCAAAUUUCAUAAUCUGCUUCCAUAUGCUAGAGCCUUGAAAUUUCAGCAGGCAACUGAAUGCAUAUAAACUCAAGGAUUUAUCAGCCAAAGAUGCAGUUUCAGCACCCUGUUUUACUUCCUGUUAGGACUAAAUAUAAGGAGCAUAACAUGAACAGACUGCUCCAUCACUGCAGUUUCUGAGAUUCCCUGCAUUUCCUGAUGUGAAAAAGUUCCCUAGGAAGUGGACAAGCGGGAGGAGGAUUUAAAAAAG